Molecule: small RNA, 28 nt
Filed under: Bombyx mori (domestic silkworm)
Lineage: Eukaryota; Metazoa; Arthropoda; Insecta; Lepidoptera; Bombycidae
Description: ovarian small RNA-21613
Source: RNAcentral
UACUUCAUAAACACGGAACCUACGAAGC